UGAACAACGCAAAUAAAUCACAUUCCAUCAAAAUGUUCUGCAAAAGUUCUUUCGGGGAUUCAUGAUGCCAGGACGUUCAAGUUACAUGACCUAUGUUUCUUGGGAAUGGAGAAGGAAGCAAGAUUCGGUCUUGGGUGCAGUGCCAUCCGUUUCAUGGAUGGGAUUGCAAUGAUUGAACCUACAGUUUC
RNAcentral lists this small nucleolar RNA (188 nucleotides) under Trichophyton rubrum BMU01672. Its description in RNAcentral is "HACA-box snoRNA". It matches the Rfam family "A. fumigatus sRNA Afu_182". Lineage: Eukaryota; Fungi; Ascomycota; Eurotiomycetes; Onygenales; Arthrodermataceae. The record is from RNAcentral.